This 450-nucleotide ribosomal RNA is filed under the name uncultured Fibrobacter sp. RNAcentral describes it as "partial 16S ribosomal RNA". It matches the Rfam family "Bacterial small subunit ribosomal RNA", at positions 341 to 792 of the family's 1533-position model. The record is from RNAcentral. Lineage: Bacteria; Pseudomonadati; Fibrobacterota; Fibrobacteria; Fibrobacterales; Fibrobacteraceae.
ACGGAAGGCAGCAGUAGGGAAUAUUGCACAAUGGGGGAAACCCUGAUGCAGCAACGCCACGUGUGGGAAGACGCAUUUGGUGUGUAAACCACUGUCGUGAGGGAAUAAGGACGCUUCUCGGAGCGUUUGAAUGUACCUCGAAAGGAAGCACCGGCAAACUUCGUGCCAGCAGCCGCGGUAAUACGAGGGGUGCAAGCGUUGUUCGGAAUCACUGGGCGUAAAGGGAGCGCAGGCGGAAGUGCAAGCGGUCUGUACAAUACCGGGGCCCAACCCCGGACCUGCAGACCGGACUGCAUUUCUUUGAUAGUUCAGGGGCAAGCGGAAUUCCUGGUGUAGCGGUGGAAUGCGUAGAGAUCAGGAAGAACACCGAUGGCGAAGGCAGCUUGCUGGGGACUUAUCGACGCUCAUGCUCGAAAGUGCGGGUAGCAAACAGGAUUAGAUACCCUGGUA